CCUACGGGUGGCAGCAGUGGGGAAUAUUGGACAAUGGGCGAAAGCCUGAUCCAGCCAUGCCGCGUGUGUGAAGAAGGCCUUCGGGUUGUAAAGCACUUUCAGUGGGGAAGAAAGCCUUGGGGCUAAUACCCUCGAGGAAGGACAUCACCCACAGAAGAAGCACCGGCUAACUCCGUGCCAGCAGCCGCGGUAAUACGGAGGGUGCGAGCGUUAAUCGGAAUUACUGGGCGUAAAGCGCGCGUAGGCGGUCUGAUAAGCCGGUUGUGAAAGCCCCGGGCUCAACCUGGGAACAGCAUCCGGAACUGUCAGGCUAGAGUGCAGGAGAGGAAGGUAGAAUUCCCGGUGUAGCAGUGAAAUGCGUAGAGAUCGGGAGGAAUACCAGUGGCGAAGGCGGCCUUCUGGACUGACACUGACGCUGAGGUGCGAAAGCGUGGGUAGCAAACAGGAUUAGAUACCCGUGUAGUC
RNAcentral lists this ribosomal RNA (465 nucleotides) under Vreelandella stevensii. RNAcentral's name for it is "partial 16S ribosomal RNA". It matches the Rfam family "Bacterial small subunit ribosomal RNA", at positions 338 to 795 of the family's 1533-position model. Lineage: Bacteria; Pseudomonadati; Pseudomonadota; Gammaproteobacteria; Oceanospirillales; Halomonadaceae. The record is from RNAcentral.